UGGACACGCACGUCCACUGUAUCUCCAACCGGCUGGGAUGGACGAGAGGUGGGACAAAGAACCCAGAGGAGACACGCAAGGCCCUGGAAGACUGGUUACCAAGGGAUCUAUGGAGUGAGAUCAACUGGUUGCUGGUGGGGUUUGGUCAACAGGACCUGAGCCCUAGGACCAUGCCUCGGACGACCUGGCAUGAUGACUCCUUG
Salvelinus namaycush (lake trout) is the source of this 203-nucleotide long non-coding RNA. RefSeq lists it as uncharacterized. The record is from RefSeq and is a predicted model, not a curated record. The transcript is spliced from 3 exons. NCBI's taxonomy places the organism in Eukaryota, Metazoa, Chordata, Actinopteri, Salmoniformes, Salmonidae.